Sapajus apella (tufted capuchin) is the source of this 698-nucleotide long non-coding RNA. RefSeq lists it as uncharacterized. The transcript has 2 exons. The record is from RefSeq and is a predicted model, not a curated record. Lineage: Eukaryota; Metazoa; Chordata; Mammalia; Primates; Cebidae.
UUCUACAGAAUUUAAUCUUAGGAAAGAUCAAAACAAAAAACCUAAGCAGAACUGGAGUGCCUACCAGGGGGUUUCGCUUCACUUUGAUGCUGCCCUUAGCCAGCAGCCCUGGAGAACAAGUGUGAGUGAGACUCAUAAGAGAAGGAAGACUUCAAGAAGAGGGCUCUGGAGUUAGUGACAGGGGACUCACAGAAUAAGUUGAGUAAGUUCCAGUGAAAGUCUGCUUCCAGGUAGAACUUCUAUCCCCGCCUUUUGGAACUUGAAGUACCUGUUUGUUAUUUGAUAGACUGUAUGGCACCCUUCUUCCUAGAUGUACUCAGUGACAUAUUUUUAAAAUGGAAGAGAAAUGACUUUAACAUGAGGAAUUGUGAGAUCCCUUAGGGCAUCAUGAAACUAAGGGAAAAAAAAUAUGUUGUCAAGUCAGCCCUGCAGUGGCUGGAGAAAGCAACCACAUUUCUUUUUAACAUAAUUGUACUGUCUCUGUCAUUUUGUCAUCAAUAUCAAAUUAGCAAACUAAUGAUUACAAAUGAAAAGAAAAAGUCAGAUCUGGAAAUGUGACAGAGUAAGUGAGACAGACCAGCCAAGGUUACCCGAUACAAGGGACUUUUGAUGCUAAAAAUGAGAUGAUCCUGGGCAAAUCAGGAUGGUUGGCCAACCUAGGUGAGUCGCAAUUUAAAUAAACCCUGAGUUCUGUUCUU